RNAcentral lists this ribosomal RNA (301 nucleotides) under uncultured bacterium. RNAcentral's name for it is "partial 16S ribosomal RNA". It matches the Rfam family "Bacterial small subunit ribosomal RNA", at positions 509 to 808 of the family's 1533-position model. The record is from RNAcentral.
CAGCCGCCGCGGGAAUACAGAGGAUGCAAGCGUUAUCCGGAAUGAUUGGGCGUAAAGCGUCUGUAGGUGGCUUUUCAAGUCCGCCGUCAGAUCCCAAGGCUCAACCCUGGACAAGCGGUGGAAACUACCAAGAUGGAGUACGGUAGGGGCAGAGGGAAUUUCCGGUGGAGCGGUGAAAUGCGUUGAGGUCGGAAGGAACACCAACGGUGAAAGCACUCUGCUGGGCCGACACUGACACUGAGAGACGAAAGUUAGGGGAGAAAAUGGGAUUAGAUACCCCCGUAGUCCCUGUCUCUUAUAC